This 520-nucleotide ribosomal RNA is filed under the name Psychrobacter sp. RNAcentral describes it as "bacterial SSU rRNA". It matches the Rfam family "Bacterial small subunit ribosomal RNA", at positions 867 to 1387 of the family's 1533-position model. The record is from RNAcentral. Lineage: Bacteria; Pseudomonadati; Pseudomonadota; Gammaproteobacteria; Moraxellales; Moraxellaceae.
GACCGCCUGGGGAGUACGGCCGCAAGGUUAAAACUCAAAUGAAUUGACGGGGGCCCGCACAAGCGGUGGAGCAUGUGGUUUAAUUCGAUGCAACGCGAAGAACCUUACCUGGUCUUGACAUACACAGAAUCUUGUAGAGAUACGAGAGUGCCUUCGGGAAUUGUGAUACAGGUGCUGCAUGGCUGUCGUCAGCUCGUGUCGUGAGAUGUUGGGUUAAGUCCCGCAACGAGCGCAACCCUUGUCCUUAGUUACCAGCACUUCGGGUGGGAACUCUAAGGAUACUGCCAGUGACAAACUGGAGGAAGGCGGGGACGACGUCAAGUCAUCAUGGCCCUUACGACCAGGGCUACACACGUGCUACAAUGGUAGGUACAGAGGGCAGCUACACAGCGAUGUGAUGCGAAUCUCAAAAAGCCUAUCGUAGUCCAGAUUGGAGUCUGCAACUCGACUCCAUGAAGUAGGAAUCGCUAGUAAUCGCGGAUCAGAAUGCCGCGGUGAAUACGUUCCCGGGCCUUGUACA